GGAAGCGGAACCUAUAGCCUGUCACUGCUCAGUCUUCUGGAUUCAGUCCCUUUUUCCAGGGGUAUGUAUGGGGGUCUACGUACCCCUUUGCCAGAGUUGCAGCUGCUUUUGCCAAGAAGCCUGGGUAUCUAAGUUUCUUGGGGCUCUGCAUGUGCCUGAGUGGCUGCUCUGCUGAGACUCCACAUAAUUCUGUGUGUCAGACUGAAGACCCUUGUGGAGUGAGUUCAUGAAAAAGGCAGAAGAAAUCAGAGAGAAGGAUGGAGUGGGGAAAAGAAGAGGGAGGCUGACAGAGAAGCUUAAAGAAAUGCUUUCAGAUGGCAACAAAAGCCAAAAUAGACAAAUGGGAUUUAAUUAAACGAAAGAGUUUCUGCACAGCAAAAUAAACUAUCAUCAGAGUGAACAGGCAACCUACCGAAUGGGAGAAAAUUCUCACAAUCUACCCAUUUGACAAAAGGCUAAUAUCCAGAAUCUACAAAGAACUUAAACAAAUUUGAAAGAAAAAAAACAAUCCCAUCAAAAAGUGGGCAAAGGAUAUGAACAGACACUUCUCAAAAGAAGACAUUUAUGCAGCCAACAGACAUAUGAAAAAAUGCUCAUCAUCACUGGUCAUCAGAGAAAUGCAAAUCAAAACCACAAUGAGACACCAUCUCACGCCAGUUAGAAUGGCAAUCAUUAAGAAGUCAGGAAACAACAGAUGCUGGAGAGGAUGUGAAGAAAUAGGAACGCUUUUACACUGUUGGUGGGAGUGCGAAUUAGUACAACCAUUGUGGAAGACAGUGUGGUGAUUCCUCAAGGAUCUAGAACUAGAAAUACCAUUUGACCCAGCAAUCCCAUUACUGGGUAUAUACCCAAAGGAUUAUAAGUCACGCUACUACAAAGACACAUGCACACGUAUGUUUAUUUUGGCACUAUUCACCAUAGCAAAGACUUGGAGCCAACCCAAACGUACAUCAAUAAUAGACUGGAUAAAGAAAAUGUGGCACAUAUACACCAUGGAAUACUAUGCAGCCACAAAAAAGGAUGAGUUCAUGUCCUUUGCAGGGACAUGGAUGAAGCUGGAAACCAUCAUUCUCAGCAAAAUACCACGAGGACAGAAAACCAAACACUGCAUGUUCUCACUUAUAAGUGGAAAUUGAACAAUGAGAACACAUGGACACAGACAGGGGAACAUCACAUGUGGGGGCCUGCUCGGGGGUGGGGGGCUUGGGGAGGGAUAGCGUUAGGAGAAAUACCUAAUGUAAAUGAGGAGUUGAUGGGUGCAGCAAACCAACAUGGCACAUGUAUACCUAUGUAACAAACCUGCACGUUGUGCACAUGUAACCUAAAACUUAAAGUAUAACUAAAAAAAAAAAAAAAAAAAAAGAAAGAUAAAGAGUUGUGCUUCAGAAAAAAAAAAUGCUUUCAGGAUUGCCUCUUCAGACAUGGUUACAAUACAUAUACUCAGUUUUCUUUAUUAACUGGACCAGAUUAAUCUUCAUUAAACUGACUGAACUAGUAAUCUUUUAAUUUUAUGUCAUCAGACAUAAACAUUUUUCUUUUUUUUCGUUUUGCAUUAGCUUAAAUUGGUUUACCUCUCCUGAUAGUCUCCCUAUACCCUUUUUCUUUGUCCUUUAUACUCCAAGUAAAUUGUAUACCAUAUGUGGGAUCAAAUGGGGAGUAAAGUAUCCUCCAUCCUCCUGUCCUCAUUUGCUGUAAACCAGUGUAAAUUCUUACUUGUGCAUCUACAAUCUGUAUUAUUGGGUAUGUUCUUAAUGUAAUCUUUGUUCAGCUGAUAGUUUAUUUCAAAUUAUGAAAUCUGUUUAUAUCAUUACUUGUUUUUCCUAUGACAUGUAGUUUUUCACAAUAGCAAAGAGUUGAUGUGAUUUUUGUAGAUAUGCU
RNAcentral lists this long non-coding RNA (1878 nucleotides) under Pan troglodytes (chimpanzee). RNAcentral's name for it is "long non-coding RNA NONPTRT003996". Lineage: Eukaryota; Metazoa; Chordata; Mammalia; Primates; Hominidae. The record is from RNAcentral.